GGGGAAUAUUGCACAAUGGGCGAAAGCCUGAUGCAGCGACGCCGCGUGAGGGCUGACGGUCUUCGGGUUGUACACCUCUUUCAGCAGGGAAGAAGCGAAAGUGACGGUACCUGCAGAAGAAGCGCCGGCUAACUACGUGCCAGCAGCCGCGGUAAUACGUAGGGCGCAAGCGUUGUCCGGAAUUAUUGGGCGUAAAGAGCUCGUAGGCGGUUAGUCGCGUCUGCUGUGAAAACUCGAGGCUCAACCUCGGGCUUGCAGUGGGUACGGGCUGACUAUAGUGCGGUAGGGGUGACUGGAAUUCCUGGUGUAGCGGUGGAAUGCGCAGAUAUCAGGAGGAACACCGACGGCGAAGGCAGGUCACUGGGCCGCAACUGACGCUGAGGAGCGAAAGCAUGGUGAGCGAACA
This 406-nucleotide ribosomal RNA is filed under the name uncultured Cellulomonadaceae bacterium. Its description in RNAcentral is "bacterial SSU rRNA". It matches the Rfam family "Bacterial small subunit ribosomal RNA", at positions 356 to 774 of the family's 1533-position model. The record is from RNAcentral. Lineage: Bacteria; Bacillati; Actinomycetota; Actinomycetes; Micrococcales; Cellulomonadaceae.